GGCUGGGGCUCAGAGGUAGAGCACUUGCCUUGCAUGUGUGAGGCACUGGGUUCAAUCCUCAGCACCA
Molecule: transfer RNA, 67 nt
Filed under: Marmota monax (woodchuck)
Lineage: Eukaryota; Metazoa; Chordata; Mammalia; Rodentia; Sciuridae
Description: tRNA.Ala
Source: RNAcentral